CCCAUGUAAUUAUCCCUCCAUAAAAUACAACAAAAACAACCCUUAACAAAUUUUACCUUAUUUUAAUCCUAUCCUAACAAUCUCUCCAAUUAAAAGAGGACACCUCACAUCUCACCUACCUACCCCUACCCCCUCACCCGUUCACGUGUCCCUCCUACCCCUACCUUUCUCACGGCCUUUUAAACUAAUUCACAAAAAAACAAAAAAAAAAAGAAUAUUAUAAAUACACUAAAAAAGGAACUUUCCAGGGAAGGAUCCUUUUCCAAUAUAGUAUACAGAGGAGAACCCAUUUUGAGGAGGGGACGAAUAGAGAAAACAUUUUUGGCUUCUUUUUCUUUCUUCUUUGUAAAAGCACAUACACAGAGACGCCAUUAAAGGGAUGAUCUUCCCUCUUCUUUUUUUGUUCUUCGCACAUUCUCACGGAAUACCACACACAUACACUCACUCGCAAUAUACACCUACAUAGGAAGAGGAAAUCAAUAAAAUGAAGAGGGAUUGAAGGAGGGAGAUCGGGAAAGGGAUAAGAACGUGAAUCCACCGGUUUGACUGUUUUCCGGUGAAACUUUUACCGAAAUAAGUUUAUAGGUCACCCUUUUGAUCGAUUCAAGCCUAAGGUACUUAAAUCUCUUUGUUUUCCAUCGAUUUCAAAGCAAACCCAGCCAGAAAACUUUAACAUUCACUGGAAUCCCUUUUGAUUUGUCAUUUCUGCUUCCGUUUAAGCACACCGGAGCUCAGGCUAAUCAUUUUUGGUUUGCGGUUGUGAUUGGGUUUUGGGUUCGUGAUUCUCGCAGUUCAUUUUGAUAUUGGGUUUUUGAGGUCUACGCAUUUAAGUCAUAUCAACGUUCGUGAUUUGGUUUGCCCAUUAAGAGUUGUCUCACUGGUUUUUGAAAUUGAUUGGUUAAUAUUGCCUUGAUACCAAGUUGGAUUGUGAAGCUGCUGAGGUUUUCGAUUGGAAAUUCUAAAUCCGGGGCUUCUUUAAUAUUUCUAUCAACCGAAAUUGAUUAUCGAAAGUGUUCGGUGUCCGUUAUCUUUAUUGACGGGGAUUAAUCCGGAUCACAUAUUGCGGGGCCUAUUUUGAAGAUAGUGCUCCCUACAAGAUUUUCUCCUUACCCAGGACUCAAAUCCGAGAUCUCUGAUUAAAGGUGAAGUAAUCCCACCACUGCACCACUACCCAUGUUGGUGAGUUUAUCCUUAUAUUUGUUUAAUUAGUGGUAUACAUUUAACGAAGAAUGCAUAUGUAUUAAUUAGUUUAUCUAGUUAGAGGAAGGAUAAUAUCAUGUAUAGUUUAGUUUUUGGAGAACUUGUAUUCAACUAUUGUGUAGCUAAGCAUCCAUCCUGCAUAUACUGAGGAUGAGACAAGAGAGAGUUAUGCAGAAGGUGAGCACUCUUCAUUUUUGUUAAGAGUCUCAUAUCGAAAAAAAAUAAAUAGGUUAUUGGUCUCCUUAUAUGUAUGUAGACAAUCUCCCCUCAUGAGCUAGUCUUUUGGAUUAAGUUAGAUUCAAAAUAUAUUCUUUACAUGA
This is a long non-coding RNA of Capsicum annuum, 1520 nucleotides long. RefSeq lists it as uncharacterized. The transcript is spliced from 2 exons. The record is from RefSeq and is a predicted model, not a curated record. NCBI's taxonomy places the organism in Eukaryota, Viridiplantae, Streptophyta, Magnoliopsida, Solanales, Solanaceae.